This 723-nucleotide unclassified non-coding RNA is filed under the name Hevea brasiliensis (rubber tree). Lineage: Eukaryota; Viridiplantae; Streptophyta; Magnoliopsida; Malpighiales; Euphorbiaceae. The record is from RNAcentral.
AAGGCUUAUCCAAGGAGGCUUAGGGUUGUCCACACAUAGAAAUUGAGAGAAAAGAAGAGUGCUGUGAAAGAUUUUGAGAUUGCUUUUGAUUUCUGGUUUUGGAUUUCUUCUUCUGUUAAUUCCCCCCUCUAUUAAUCCCCGCUUCUCUGAAUCCCUUUCUGUUAAUCAUCUGUCUUUCAGGUUCUAUUUUUUGGGUUUGUUUUUCAGAAAAUUUUAUAAACAAAUGAGUAGAAAGCAAACUUAAGAAGGGUUUCUCGAAGGCCAGGUGUUUUCAGAAUCGAGAUCCAGGCUUUUUCAUUUUAAUUUCCCGAAGUUUUUUUCGUUGUUUUCUUUUUAUUUUUCAUAGCUGAAUCAGCUUGGAGGGUUAUUUUUUGGUCCCUCAAGGUUGGUUUUUUAGGCCUUUGAAUCGAAAAGGGGUUGUAUAUUUCUAAACCUCUUUGAUCUUUUCUUUCUAAUCUUUCUUUCUAAAGGAACCAGCUAUUCUUUAAUUUGCUUAAGAAGCAGGUGGUGCUUUUUAUUUAAAUCUUGAUUUUUAAGAAUUUUAGUUGAGAAAUUUAGCUUGAGAAGGCAUGGCAGCUACAAUGGAUUUCUACAGUAGCAGACAUCUUCAAUCAGACCCCUUUGGGGGUGAGCUAAUGCAAGCACUUGAGCCUUUUAUGAGAAGUGCUUCCUCUUCAACUACCCCUUCUCCUUCUCCUUCUUCUACUCCUUCUAUUUCCUCUU